This 393-nucleotide ribosomal RNA is filed under the name uncultured bacterium. RNAcentral describes it as "bacterial SSU rRNA". It matches the Rfam family "Bacterial small subunit ribosomal RNA", at positions 955 to 1347 of the family's 1533-position model. The record is from RNAcentral.
UGAUACGCGAGAAACCUUACCUGGGCUCGAACGCUAGAUGAAUAUUGAGGAAACUUGAUAGGCCCGCAAGGGACAUUUAGUGAGGUGCUGCAUGGCUGUCGUCAGCUCGUGCCGUGAGGUGUUGGGUUAAGUCCCGCAACGGGCGCAACCCCUAUUUUCAGUUGCCAGCGAUUCGGUCGGGGACUCUGAAAAGACUGCCUCCGUAAGGAGUGAGGAAGGAAGGGACGACGUCAAGUCAUCAUGGCCUUUAUGCCCAGGGCUACACACGUACUACAAUGGCAUCCACAGAGGGCAGCGAGCGUGCGAACGUAAGCGAAUCUCAGAAAGGAUGCCCCAGUUCGGAUUGGAGUCUGCAACUCGACUCCAUGAAGUUGGAAUCGCUAGUAAUCGCGC